GCGAGAACACCGGCGGCCGAGUGGUGAUCGUGAUUAUUGGGUCUAAGGGUCCGUAGCCGGUUUGGUCAGUCCUCCGGGAAAUCUGAUAGCUCAACUAUUAGGCUUUCGGGGGAUACUGCCAGACUUGGAACCGGGAGAGGUAAGAGGUACUACAGGGGUAGGAGUGAAAUCUUGUAAUCCCUGUGGGACCACCUGUGGCGAAGGCGUCUUACCAGAACGGGUUCGACGGUGAGGGACGAAAGCUGGGGGCACGAACCGGAUUAGAUACCCGGGUAGUCCCAGCCGUAAACGAUGCUCGCUAGGUGUCAGGCAUGGCGCGACCGUGUCUGGUGCCGCAGGGAAGCCGUGAAGCGAGCUACCUGGGAAGUACGGCCGCAAGGCUGAAACUUAAAGGAAUUGGCGGGGGAGCACAACAACGGGUGGAGCCCUGCGGUUUAAUUGGACUCAACGCCGGACAACUCACCGGGGGCGACAGCAAUAUGUAGGCCAAGCUGAAGACUUUGCCUGAAUCGCUGAGAAGUGGUGCAUGG
Molecule: ribosomal RNA, 530 nt
Filed under: uncultured archaeon
Lineage: Archaea
Description: bacterial SSU rRNA
Rfam family: Archaeal small subunit ribosomal RNA
Source: RNAcentral